GCUGAAGUCCAAGACAGCCUCACAGCAAAGAGAGUCUCUGCACGGCUAUCAGAGAGGAGGAGAAAGCCUGGAGCCUGUAGACCGUGUCAGUGUUUCAAGGAUGAGCAGCACACUCAAGUGAAACGCCAGCGCUCUCCAAGUGCAGUCAUCCUUCCCCAGAAAAGGAGGAAAACCAAGGCCUCUACCUCAGAUGCAGACGACACGUUCACAAGACCAUCAGCCACCAUCCCUGAUGCUGAGCUGCCUCCGGUCUCAAAUACAGCCCACAAUCUUCGACCCUCUACUGUUGCACCUCGGCCAGACAGCCCUCUAAAGAUCCACAACCGCUCAGUAGAAGAAGUACCAGCAGGUGUACCAUGAAGUGGUCGAUGAUAUGCUGAGAGACGAGAACGGACAGCUCCGUCCAUACAGUUUGGAGCUGGGACGCUAUGGGAAAGACUGAACCGUCCCACAAUGAUUAUGUCUACUGAUGAAGACGGCCGCCUUCACGUGGACGUGACUUACGGAGUUGAAGAGUGUCCUCCUGAAUUUAAUGUGGAUACUACAAAAGAACCCGAGUGCUGAGCUGAACAGCUCAGAGAAACAGUGAAAGGAAUGAGAACAGUUACUGAGUCUGUGUAAAUAAGCUUUAAAUAAUCUGUAAAUAAAACUUUUAAAUAAAUUCAUUAGUGACAAAAUCAUCUGCAGGACUCAAAUUGCUGAGGCACCACCCCUCAGCUCCACCUUCACACUUUGCAUUCACCGUAAUUCUGUCUGCCCACUCGGAUAAACUCCUCUUGCUCCUACAGCCUCCAUCCUCUUCUAGAAGUUCUUGCAAAAAACUAAAAAAAACUAAAUGUAACCAGAGUAAAGCAAUCUCUCUCUCUUCUUAUCUCAGAAAGAGCUGUCAUAAAGCUUCUCACCUUUCAAUUCAUCUGUGCAUCCAGCCUUUACAUUACUCCCAAAAUGUUGCCACAGUUGGCUAUCACAGUCAAUGAAAACUGUGCUUAUGGUCAAUCUCAUAAAAAACUGUAGUUGUGUUCAUAUACAGGUGUGUCCCUCUACCCUUAACAAUGACUUAAGCUGGGAAAGCUGAGAGGUCAGCAGGCAUUUUCUGUUGAAAAGUUGAAAGUGAUGCAAAAAAUAAA
Molecule: long non-coding RNA, 1127 nt
Organism: Haplochromis burtoni (Burton's mouthbrooder)
Lineage: Eukaryota; Metazoa; Chordata; Actinopteri; Cichliformes; Cichlidae
Exons: 4
Source: RefSeq, a predicted model, not a curated record